GUGUGGCGUGAGAAGAGAGGGGGUUGGCACUCCCCCGGAGCCUGUAACACACGUACGCCUAAGACAUUGCCACCCACUUGGUGGCAUCUCUAAGUGUCUUUU
This 102-nucleotide non-coding RNA is filed under the name Lepisosteus oculatus (spotted gar). Lineage: Eukaryota; Metazoa; Chordata; Actinopteri; Semionotiformes; Lepisosteidae. The record is from RNAcentral.